Molecule: ribosomal RNA, 601 nt
Filed under: Legionella pneumophila
Lineage: Bacteria; Pseudomonadati; Pseudomonadota; Gammaproteobacteria; Legionellales; Legionellaceae
Description: partial 23S ribosomal RNA
Rfam family: Bacterial large subunit ribosomal RNA
Source: RNAcentral
UUAUAUGGUCAAGAAGAGAAGCGCAAACGGUGGAUGCCUUGGCAGUAAGAGGCGAAGAAGGACGUGGAAUCCUGCGAAAAGCUAUGGGGAGCUGGAAACGAGCGUUGAGCCAUAGAUGUCCGAAUGGGGGAACCCGGCUGCAGCGAUGCGGUCAUUUGCAUUUGAAUACAUAGGAUGCAAAGGCGAACUCGGGGAACUGAAACAUCUAAGUACCCGAAGGAAAAGAAAUCAAGAGAGAUUCUCCAAGUAGCGGCGAGCGAACGGGGAGGAGCCUGGCGUGAUUUAUUAUUGAACUGAGUAGAACAAUUUGGGAAAGUUGGCGAUAGAGGGUGAAAGCCCCGUAUACGAAGGUUUGAUGAGGAACUAGGCACGCGAACAAGUAGGCCGGGACACGUGAAAUCCUGGUUGAAGAUGGGUGGACCAUCAUCCAAGGCUAAAUACUACUUACUGACCGAUAGUGAACCAGUACCGUGAGGGAAAGGUGAAAAGAACCCCGGAGAGGGGAGUGAAAUAGAAUCUGAAACCGUUUGCGUACAAGCAGUGGGAGCAUGGUUUAGGCUGUGUGACUGCGUACCUUUUGUAUAAUGGGUCAGCGAGUUAC